GACGAACGCUGGCGGCGUGCUUAACACAUGCAAGUCGAACGGAAAGGCCCUGCUUGCAGGGUACUCGAGUGGCGAACGGGUGAGUAACACGUGGGUGAUCUGCCCUGCACUUCGGGAUAAGCCUGGGAAACUGGGUCUAAUACCGGAUAGGAGCUAUUUUUAGUGUGAUGGUUGGAAAGUUUUUUCGGUGUAGGAUGAGCUCGCGGCCUAUCAGCUUGUUGGUGGGGUAAUGGCCUACCAAGGCGGCGACGGGUAGCCGGCCUGAGAGGGUGGACGGCCACAUUGGGACUGAGAUACGGCCCAGACUCCUACGGGAGGCAGCAGUGGGGAAUAUUGCACAAUGGGCGCAAGCCUGAUGCAGCGACGCCGCGUGGGGGAUGACGGCCUUCGGGUUGUAAACUCCUUUCGCUAGGGACGAAGCUUUUUGUGACGGUACCUAGAUAAGAAGCACCGGCUAACUACGUG
RNAcentral lists this ribosomal RNA (465 nucleotides) under uncultured bacterium. Its description in RNAcentral is "partial 16S ribosomal RNA". It matches the Rfam family "Bacterial small subunit ribosomal RNA", at positions 28 to 507 of the family's 1533-position model. The record is from RNAcentral.